RNAcentral lists this long non-coding RNA (534 nucleotides) under Mus caroli (Ryukyu mouse). RNAcentral's name for it is "brown adipose tissue enriched long noncoding RNA 3 (MGP_CAROLIEiJ_G0004188.1)". The record is from RNAcentral. Lineage: Eukaryota; Metazoa; Chordata; Mammalia; Rodentia; Muridae.
AAGUCACAGGGAACAAGGCAGAAUGAGGUUCAGUGGGGUGUGCCAGGUGAGUGUUGAUCAGCACCAAUGACAGCAUGAAACUGAUGUUCCAGGGACUAAGAUGAAGCAGUUGAAAUCAAUUGGAUCCCAGGCAGCUUCCAGCCAGCAGAGACAUUCUGUCUUCCCUACACUCUGGGCAGGUCUUGGCAGCGCCCUGCCUGACUCCAGCCUGUCCCUUCUCGAGCCUGGAAAAGCCCAGGAGACCGAGGCGCACUCACCCGGUGGCUGCCUCUGUCCAUGGUGUAAGAGAAUGCUUCUUCCAGGCUCAGCUGAUGUCGAGGAGGCAAAAGAAACAGAGGAAGAGACACAUGCCCUAAAGCAGAGUUGCUGAGCUCAGAAGUGUGGAAGCAGAAGAGUUCGGUGGACUUGGGAAUGCUCCCUUUGUGAUAAAGCCCCAGGGUGGCUGCAACUUCUCUGAGAUCCGUGGAUUCUGUGACUGGGUCUGUGUUCCCCCAUGCAUGAAUCUGUACCCAAAUAAAAUUCUCUUUGCUUUUA